This 73-nucleotide transfer RNA is filed under the name Dermacoccus abyssi. RNAcentral describes it as "tRNA-Thr(tgt)". It matches the Rfam family "tRNA". From Rfam's summary of the family: Transfer RNA (tRNA) molecules are approximately 80 nucleotides in length. Their secondary structure includes four short double-helical elements and three loops (D, anti-codon, and T loops). The record is from RNAcentral. Lineage: Bacteria; Bacillati; Actinomycetota; Actinomycetes; Micrococcales; Dermacoccaceae. RNAcentral also lists the same sequence under 4 other names.
GCUGGAGUGGCGCAAUUGGUAGCGCACCUGUCUUGUAAACAGGUGGUUGUGGGUUCGAGUCCCAUCUCCAGCU